GGUUGCGGCUCAGUGGCAGAGUGCUUGCCUAGCAUGUGUGAGGCACUGGCUUCGAUCCCCAGCACCA
RNAcentral lists this transfer RNA (67 nucleotides) under Marmota monax (woodchuck). RNAcentral describes it as "tRNA.Ala". Lineage: Eukaryota; Metazoa; Chordata; Mammalia; Rodentia; Sciuridae. The record is from RNAcentral.